CAGAAGAGCUGAGUAGUUUGAGUGUGCGCUCUGAAGUCAGAGAUUUGGUUUCAAGUGUUGACUCUGUAAACUUGGAUAUGGACCCUUGGGCAGAAGAUGACAUUUUCACCAGUAUUAUUAGGAAGGAUGGGAACAGGGCUCGCAUCUUUAAUUCACUGAGAUCUGUGUGUGGCUGAGAACACUGACGUGCCUGCGGGCAUAUGGCUUACAAUGUGGAGAUGGAUCUUAUUGCUGCUGGAAGCAUCCCUGAAGCCUAGAGAUAUCCCUCGCUCUCCUUUGGAUGUAGAGACAAG
This 293-nucleotide long non-coding RNA is filed under the name Equus asinus (donkey). RNAcentral describes it as "lncRNA (ENSEASG00005032863.1)". Lineage: Eukaryota; Metazoa; Chordata; Mammalia; Perissodactyla; Equidae. The record is from RNAcentral.